UUGUUUUUCAGAAAUUAUAUAUAUAUAUAUGUAUGUAUGUAUGUAUAUAUAAUACUUAAUAAUAUAUAGACGAUAUUAAAAUUUAUGCACUUUCUCUUGAUUAUAGUUUCCAAACAGCUAAUCAAAUUAAGAGGUCAAGAAGAGUGUCGCUUUGUAUGUCAAACCAUUCACAGCUCUCAUACUAUGGCAUAGCUCUCAUAAAUGGCAAGCAUUAUUGACUAAAGAUUGAGAAAUAUUGUUCGAUAGAAGACGAAUAAAUGUACAAUUUCUUGGCUAUAUUUUAAGAAAAUUUAUCAUACUAUAUUUUAUAAAGGUUUUUUUAGCACCAAACACAGAAACAGCAUUUCAUUUUUAUUUCAUGAAUUAAUCUUAAUUUACACGAUGUUUCAUAUUGAUCGCGACGCCGAUCCUUUAGCGGCAGACAUUUACAGCUUCGUAAUGUCGCCUGCGAACGAAUUUGCAUGUUUAGCACCCACCGUCGACUAUUUUAAUUGCAUAAUCGUCGUGCUAAGUCUUCCUACGUGCGGCGCUGAUUUCACGCACGAGCCUCUUUACGCGCUUGCGUAAUUCCUCAGUAAAGUAAUGCAAACGAAACAGUUCCUUUUGUUUCGAACGCAUUUUCUUUGUUACGCCGGUGCAAGAGGUUAAUCCUUAUAUUUCCUGAAAACAUCAAAGCUGAAUCUAACACUACGGAAAGCACUGCUCAAAAUAAAAACUAACGGAAAUGUACACUAUUAAAUUUCGAUACUUAUCGCAACAAAAUAAUUGAUUUAAUGAAUAUGAAUGAUUUAAUUACAAGGCGACUGACAAUGGAAGGUGAUGGAAUAAAAGAAUGGUACAGCAGCCCCGCAGCGUUCUAAUUACCUGGCGUCUUCCUUUCAUUUCGCAAAUCCACAUGUGUGUCAAGAUGCAUCGCGCGUGUGGACACGCAGUAUUAGAGACGAAUGUAAUCGGGUAAUACCAUUUGACAUCUCGCAAGAGGAAUCGAGCAACCUCGACCUGCCGUGCCGCGCCGCAUCCUAUUAGGAAAUCCGAAUUCUAGCCACGAUCGAACGUUGAUCGCGCUUGCCUGAGGCAACAUCCGGCAUGAAUCAACAAGAUCAAGUCGAAGACGAUUGCCAUAACUGGAUUUACCUUGGCACGUAAUAAACGCUGAUUAAUUAGCCUUAAACGAGUGUGACUCAUGCUUCUGCGGUUGUCCGAUCGCAAUUUAUGGUACAUCGUUGUAGAAACAAUCAACAGUCAGUUUUACUACACGCAUUAUGUGAGAAAUAUCUGUGAGAAAUGUAAAUUAAUGCACAAAGUGACCUUGGUCGAAGGACGGUGAUUAAAAGACUAAUUCUUGCCGAAACAUCCUAUUAUUAUCCUGUAUGGAGUCCGUUGCGUGUGAGAAAUUGUAUGUCGCACUGCUUCUGUUUACUGUAGAAAAAUAUACGAGACGGUAUUGGCGCUCGUCAUCUAAUAACAUCGUUGUCUAUAUCCUGACGUGCACGAAUGUAGGAAGUAGGGUCGAGUUACAAGUCACGUGAAAUACGAGAAUAAGGCGCAAAAGAUGAAGCAUCACGAAGACUACCUAACUGUCAGAAAUCGACACGAACAGCAGAAUUAAAUUUGCGAAGAGCGACGAAAAGGAAUGUAGGAAUUAAGUUCACAUUAAAAAGGUCAGUACACAUACUCCAUACGAUAUAUCCACAGAAAGAACUUUGCUGAAGUAUCUAAAAAUUUAAUUGAAUACCUGUAUGCACUGUUGGCAGCAGAAUUUAAUGAAAUACAACGGAAGCAAAUUUUA
This is a long non-coding RNA of Solenopsis invicta (red fire ant), 1789 nucleotides long. RefSeq lists it as uncharacterized. NCBI's taxonomy places the organism in Eukaryota, Metazoa, Arthropoda, Insecta, Hymenoptera, Formicidae. The record is from RefSeq and is a predicted model, not a curated record. The transcript is spliced from 5 exons.